RNAcentral lists this long non-coding RNA (1691 nucleotides) under Lactuca sativa (garden lettuce). RNAcentral's name for it is "long non-coding RNA (LSAT_LNC009285)". Lineage: Eukaryota; Viridiplantae; Streptophyta; Magnoliopsida; Asterales; Asteraceae. The record is from RNAcentral.
UGAAGAAUAAAAAUAAAAAUACAUUAGUUCUUAUAGAAUAUGGGUAACAAUUAUUAAGAAUUACAUUUAUUGUUAAAGAAUAAAACUAUAAAAACAAUCAAAACGGGGAAGAAAACAUCAAAAUCUAACAACGACUAAUACAUUCUAAAAGAAUAAUGUGGUCCGUUCUUCAAGCAUCAACUUCUGUGAUUCCAACAGAAUUGGAAUUCAUCAUUCCAUUCCAACAGAAUUGGAAUUCGUCAUUCCAUUCCAACAGAAUUGGAAUUCGUCAUUCCAUUCCAAUAGAAUUAGAAUCCCACCAAUAUCAUCCAUUGAAUCAUCUACAUAAACAUACUUGGAGAAGCCAACAUACUUGAUACCUUUUCAGAAUUUAACCUUGUCAAGAUCUUGCAUUGUCCGCAUAAAUGAAGUGUUAAAUCAGGAAAAAAAAACAUAAAGUAUGUUGUUAAGCCUUUACAUUUGUUCUUGUUAUACUGAAAGUAUGUUGUCAAAAGAGGAAUUUAAUACAAGUUUUUAAAGGUAAAAGAGAUGGAUUUUUUUUGGGUUUAUUGUUACUCAAAAAUAUCUUUUUAUGGGGCUGUUAGAUACUCGAAAAUGGUAACAAGAAAAUGAGCUUUUUAGGUGUUGUAGGUUAUUCAAAAAUUAGCUACUGUUUGGGGUGGUUUAGCUCUCGAAAAAUUAGCAAAAUAAUGGGUUUUUGGGUCUCUUUUGGUCACUAAAAAGCAGAGGUAUACUUAGUUGUUGGGUUCUCAACAUUUCACCGCAAAACAGGUGGUUUUUGGAUCACAUUUGGUCACUUGAAAAUAGCUUUGUAUAGGGCUGAUGUGUUCUUGAAUUUUUGAUAGCAAACAUGAGGUUUUUGACAGCAAAAUAGGUGGUUUUUGGGCUGCUAUAAACCACUAGAAAAACAACACUUUAUUGAGUUGUUUUGGGUCUCAAAAAUUCAGCAAGAACACAUGAAUAAGAGGAGUUUUGGGGAUAUUAUGGUAGCUUCAAACACAGCUGCAACAGGAGACAUGUUCAGGGGUAUUUUUAGGAUAAAAACAUGUUGAAAAUUGGUGCUAAGUGGCUGUGAUUGGAGGCUAAAAAAGAGGAGGCAACAACUCCAUUUCUGUCUUCGGUUUUGAUGGGUUUCAAGGAGAGGGGAGGGGCUAUAAGGAAGUUGAUUUUAAAUAUGAUAUUGAGAGUAUUCCCAGAAUAUGUUUGCUGUGAAUUUGAAGAAAGGAAGGUGGGAGGAAGCUGGCAUUAAGUUUAUAGGAAGGAAACAAAUAGAGAGUUAUGAGAGAAUGAUGGAAACGAAAUGGAGAAAGAAUCGACCAAGCAUUCAAGUUACAGUUUUCUCAAUUUGGGCAUUUCAUCGAGCACCAUAUGUGCACAGAGACUGUAACAGAAGAGAACGCUACCUUCACAGGCACAGAGGGAAGAAGUGAUAUCUUAGAAUUACUAACCUUGGGUUUCGAAGAAUUAAAUCCCUCUACCAUAUCUGAAGUAGCUUGAAUCAGAAGAAUAGGCAAAACUCAUCAUAGAACCUGAAACCACCACUGGACUCGCCGCAGGGAUGGACCCGCAUCAUUUUAUUGCUUACGAUGUCAUUGUUGUUCAGUCGAUUUCUCCUCUUAAAACCUUUGGAUGAUGUCGAUCUUGUUCAUGGUUUUAAAAAACCGAUGGAGAAAACCUAGGUAGGUAGGUAG